GACGAACGCUGGCGGCGUGCCUAACACAUGCAAGUCGAGCGGGGACAGGAUUUCGGUUCUGUUCUAGCGGCGGACGGGUGAGUAACGCGUGAGCAACCUGUCCCGAACAGGGGGAUACCAGAUGGAAACAUCUGCUAAUACCGCAUAAGACCACGCUCCCACAUGGGAGCGGGGUCAAAGGAGCAAUCCGGUUCGGGGUGGGCUCGCGUCCGAUUAGCUAGUUGGUGGGGUAACGGCCCACCAAGGCGACGAUCGGUAGCCGACCUGAGAGGGUGAUCGGCCACAUUGGAACUGAGAGACGGUCCAAACUCCUACGGGAGGCAGCAGUGGGGAAUAUUGGGCAAUGGGGGAAACCCUGACCCAGCAACGCCGCGUGAGGGAAGAAGGUUUUCGGAUUGUAAACCUCUGUCCUCAGGGACGAAAAAAUGACGGUACCUGAGGAGGAAGCCCCGGCUAACUACGUG
RNAcentral lists this ribosomal RNA (464 nucleotides) under uncultured bacterium. RNAcentral's name for it is "bacterial SSU rRNA". It matches the Rfam family "Bacterial small subunit ribosomal RNA", at positions 28 to 507 of the family's 1533-position model. The record is from RNAcentral.